GGAAGGUUAUGUUAGUUCCUGUUUAUUUUAAUAGUAAUAACCUUCUCAUUCAUGCUGGUGCCUACUUCUUUCCUUAUCUUUUGUCCUCCUUUUCUUUGAGACUGGAAAUUUAUUAUGCAUGACUGAUUUGUAAAAUCACCAUGUAUUUUGUAGCUGGACAGGAGAGAUUCAGAACAUUAACAAGCUCUUACUAUAGAAAUG
This 201-nucleotide unclassified non-coding RNA is filed under the name Hevea brasiliensis (rubber tree). Lineage: Eukaryota; Viridiplantae; Streptophyta; Magnoliopsida; Malpighiales; Euphorbiaceae. The record is from RNAcentral.